This 21-nucleotide non-coding RNA is filed under the name Arabidopsis thaliana (thale cress). The record is from RNAcentral. Lineage: Eukaryota; Viridiplantae; Streptophyta; Magnoliopsida; Brassicales; Brassicaceae.
UUCACAUUGUAAUUAAUUUGA